CCGGUAUAGCUCAGCUGGUAGAGCAACUGACUUGUAACAGUAGGUCCCGGGUUCGACUCCUGGUGCCGG
Molecule: transfer RNA, 69 nt
Filed under: Pseudomonas aeruginosa DHS29
Lineage: Bacteria; Pseudomonadati; Pseudomonadota; Gammaproteobacteria; Pseudomonadales; Pseudomonadaceae
Description: tRNA-OTHER
Rfam family: tRNA
About the family: Transfer RNA (tRNA) molecules are approximately 80 nucleotides in length. Their secondary structure includes four short double-helical elements and three loops (D, anti-codon, and T loops). Further hydrogen bonds mediate the characteristic L-shaped molecular structure. tRNAs have two regions of fundamental functional importance: the anti-codon, which is responsible for specific mRNA codon recognition, and the 3' end, to which the tRNAs corresponding amino acid is attached (by aminoacyl-tRNA synthetases). tRNAs cope with the degeneracy of the genetic code in two manners: having more than one tRNA (with a specific anti-codon) for a particular amino acid; and 'wobble' base-pairing, i.e. permitting non-standard base-pairing at the 3rd anti-codon position.
Source: RNAcentral